CCUAGCUGACCUGUAGCUAGGUGUCUUUAAGGUGAGAAUCCUUGACAAGCAUGUGGGGCUUAUAUCUUAUUGUGUCCUUUACAGGAUAGAAAUAGAUUUAUUGGGGAUACAGAGCGUUGGCAUAGCCACUCUAAACCAAUCACAAUAAGUAUUAGUGCAGACUUAAAAAUCAUGC
This 175-nucleotide non-coding RNA is filed under the name unclassified sequences. The record is from RNAcentral.